RNAcentral lists this ribosomal RNA (301 nucleotides) under uncultured bacterium. Its description in RNAcentral is "partial 16S ribosomal RNA". It matches the Rfam family "Bacterial small subunit ribosomal RNA", at positions 509 to 807 of the family's 1533-position model. The record is from RNAcentral.
CAGUCGCCGCGGGAAUACGAAGGGGGCUAGCGUUGUUCGGAUUUACUGGGCGUAAAGCGCACGUAGGCGGACUUUUAAGUCAGGGGUGAAAUGCCAAGGCUCAACCUUGGAACUGCCUUUGAUACUGGCGAUCUUGAGUUCGGGAGAGGUGAGUGGAACUGCGAGUGUAGAGGUGAAAUUCGUAGAUAUUCGCAAGAACACCAGUGGCGAAGGCGGCUCACUGGCCCGGAACUGACGCUGAGGCUCGACAGCGUGGGGAGCAAACAGGAUUAGAUACCCGCGUAGUCCCUGUCUCUUAUAC